UCUCUCUCUCUCCUUCCCAGAUGAGCCUUUUUGGACUUCUAGGAUCCUUUUUUUUUUUUUUUUUUUCCCUCCCCCUCCUCCUGCUCUUCCCCCUUUUUUUUUUUUCUUUUUGGUUGCUUUUUCUUUUUCUUUUUUUUUUUUUUAUUCAAACAAACUUUGCCAGUCCCAUCUGCAUCUGACAAGUGCAGGGGGAAGGACUGGCCGCCCCCUCCCUCCCAUGCUCUCCCCCCUCCCGCCCUUCCCACCCCCACCCCCUCUGGCUCCGGGCUUGUCAGAGGCGCUGGAUGCUUUGGGGAGGACGGUUCUCAUCGCCAGCCUCCGCCAUGCUUUGAUUUUGCAGGCUGGAGAAGCUCCCUUCCCGCCCCGCCGGUUCGGGAGGAGGUUGGGAGGGGAGGCGGGAAUUAGCCAAAAUAAUAAUAAUAAUAGCAAUUAAAAAAAAAAAAAGAGAGAGAAAGAAAAUUCAGCACAGCGGCGGCAAAGAAAAGAAAAGCUCCCACGGAGCCCCGGGCCCGGAGGACGCUGCUCGGCGGGGCGGCGGGGCGCACCGCGCCGGGGAGGCCAAACUCGGGCUGCGGCGGAAAGUUUCGCGCAGCCGCCCCGGCCCGCCCGCGCCUCCCGCCGCCGUUUGGCCGGGCCGCCGCCAGGGGGCGAUCGCUCCCCAGCGCAGCUGACGGAGGGGCGGUGGCGUCCCGCCCGCCGGCUCAGCACCUGCGUAGCGCUUCCAACGUGGAGUUUGGAGCUUCCCGUCCCGCACGGUGUCACACAGUCACCCACGUGGGGCUCGUCCCGAGAAAGAAAGUCUCCUGAGGUUGCUCACAGCCUUCCGCUGGCUGCCGAGGCGGGAGGUGACAUGUCCUCACAGGCGCUGCCUUCCCCGCCCAUCUCUGAACAUCACUGUAGCAGAGGGCACAUAGAGGAUAUGCUGGCUGCCCUGCUUUUCAGCCAUCCUCGCCAUCUUGGCCACCUCAACGCAUCACAGGGAUCAAAACAAACCCCUCUGAACGGUUCUGCUCGCAUCGCUAAUUACACAGCUUCCACUCAGGAGGAGUCUACGAGACACAGGUGAUAAAGAGAGAGAACUGCACUGCAGUGUGCUCUCUGAAGAGGCCACUUAGGAGACAAUAAAGAAUCAUGGGGUAAGUAGAGCUAUCCA
Molecule: long non-coding RNA, 1153 nt
Filed under: Phasianus colchicus (ring-necked pheasant)
Lineage: Eukaryota; Metazoa; Chordata; Aves; Galliformes; Phasianidae
Description: lncRNA (ENSPCLG00000004699.1)
Source: RNAcentral